Molecule: long non-coding RNA, 578 nt
Filed under: Ananas comosus (pineapple)
Lineage: Eukaryota; Viridiplantae; Streptophyta; Magnoliopsida; Poales; Bromeliaceae
Description: long non-coding RNA (ACOM_LNC007104)
Source: RNAcentral
AAUAUGUAGGGAGUGGGCUGGUAUGCUUCUGGAAGCACGGCUUCCAAGUUGUUUUCGAUGUUUCGACUUUCGAAUCGACAAUCGGCUCCGUUAGAGUUGAUUUAGAGUAUUUAAAAUAUCUAGAAAAUAAAUUUUAUGAUUUUUCGAUAUUAUUUGACUAGUGAUCGAAGGGGCUCAAAAUCAAUAAUUUUAAUGGCCGUAGUGAGCCGGUUGCAAGUUUAACGGUAUAGAAAUAUCCAAAUCGGGCGAAAUUUUGAUAGAAAAUUCUUCAUACUAUUUACUACAAGAUCAAUAUCUUUGAUUGAAAAUUUUUUAUACUAAAAAAUAAGAUCAAUAUUCUUUGAUCUAAAAUUUUAAUGUCAUAUCAUCAUAUUUUGUAAGAUUUUUAUUUUCAGCCGUUGAUUUUGAGCCCCUUCGAUCACUAGGCAAAUAAUAUCGAAAAAUCACGAAAUUUAUUUUCUAGAUACUUCAAAUACUCUAGAUGAAGUCUAACGGAGCCGAUCGUCGAUUCGAAAGUCCCAACAUUGAAAAUAACUUAGAAGCACGGAGUGCUCCGUGCUUCCAAGAGCACCCCAGAC